GUGUGUGUGUGUGUAUGUAUGUAUGUACAUAUGUGUAUGUAUAUUAAAUUAAUAUUAAAUUAAUAUUGGCACCCUUGCAUUCAAAUCUACUGAAAGAUAUCCAUAGGAAAGUGAAGAAAGUGAAGAAAAAGAAGACUUUUGGUUUUCCAAAAGUAGCAGGAACAUCAGCUCUGAAAUUGGGGGAGGCAACACGUUCUUUUAACCAACCUUCUGAUUUUUGGAGUUCUAAACAGGUACAUUGUUCAUCAAAUAGGAAGGGACCGUCAUGGGAUGACCAUGGGAGGAUCUCUCUCGGCACAGCAGUGACACUGACACGUGAUGCUGGCAUGAGUAUAUCAGAAGCGUUCUGCUGCUGAAGUGAAAUCGAAUGUGUCCAGUGUUUCUCUACAGCUUGAGAUGUACACCAGCCUGGUG
This is a long non-coding RNA of Ictalurus punctatus (channel catfish), 414 nucleotides long. The record is from Ensembl. Lineage: Eukaryota; Metazoa; Chordata; Actinopteri; Siluriformes; Ictaluridae.